This 449-nucleotide ribosomal RNA is filed under the name uncultured bacterium. RNAcentral's name for it is "bacterial SSU rRNA". It matches the Rfam family "Bacterial small subunit ribosomal RNA", at positions 328 to 794 of the family's 1533-position model. The record is from RNAcentral.
GCGCCAGACUCCUACGGGAGGCAGCAGUGGGGAAUAUUGCACAAUGGGGGAAACCCUGAUGCAGCGACGCCGCGUGAGUGAAGAAGUAUUUCGGUCUGUAAAGCUCUAUCAGCAGGGAAGAAAAUGACGGUACCUGAUUAAGAAGCCCCGGCUAACUACGUGCCAGCAGCCGCGGUAAUACGUAGGGGGCAAGCGUUAUCCGGAUUUACUGGGUGCAAAGGGAGCGUAGACGGUGAUGCAAGUCAGAAGUGAAAGCCCGGGGCUCAACUCCGGGACUGCUUUUGAAACUGUGUGACUGGAGUGCAGGAGAGGUAAGCGGAAUUCCUGGUGUAGCGGUGGAAUGCGUAGAUAUAUGGAAGAACACCAGUGGCGAAGGCGGCUCUCUGGUCUGCAACUGACGCUGAGGCUCGAAAGCAUGGGUAGCGAACAGGAUUAGAUACCCUUGUACU